RNAcentral lists this unclassified non-coding RNA (330 nucleotides) under soil metagenome. Its description in RNAcentral is "partial contains 5.8S ribosomal RNA, internal transcribed spacer 2, and large subunit ribosomal RNA". The stretch from base 1 to 121 matches the Rfam family "5.8S ribosomal RNA", at positions 35 to 154 of the family's 154-position model. The record is from RNAcentral.
GAUGAAGAACGCAAGCGAAAUGCGAUAAGUAAUGUGAAUUGCAGAAUUCAGUGAAUCAUCGAAUCUUUGAACGCACAUUGCGCCCCCUGGUAUUCCGGGGGGCAUGCCUGUCCGAGCGUCAUUACAACCCUCAAGCUCAGCUUGGUGUUGGGCCCCGCCGCCCCGGCGGGCCCUAAAGUCAGUGGCGGUGCCGUCCGGCUCCGAGCGUAGUAAUUCUUCUCGCUCUGGAGGUCCGGUCGUGUGCUCGCCAGCAACCCCCAAUUUUUUUCAGGUUGAACUCGGAUCAGGUAGGGAUACCCGCUGAACUUAAGCAUAUCAAUAAGCGGAGGA